CCGGCGGAGUGCCGGACACGACCCCGCCACCGGACGUGCCGCUGCCCCCUGUGUCGCCCGAUGGUAGCACCGUCUAGCUAGCGUGGUCCGUCUGUGCGUGCUUGCUGUGUAGCUUUUUUUUUUGGAUCACUUGCGUAGCUUUUGCAUACGGUGUCAGUGUGUACAUACAUGUUGCAGUGGAGUACGUUCUACCUUUUUCACUACGGAGCACCGAUGUGUACUGUUGUAUUCUC
RNAcentral lists this long non-coding RNA (233 nucleotides) under Triticum aestivum (bread wheat). Its description in RNAcentral is "long non-coding RNA (TAES_LNC008450)". The record is from RNAcentral. Lineage: Eukaryota; Viridiplantae; Streptophyta; Magnoliopsida; Poales; Poaceae.